UUAUUAAGCCGAGGAAAAGAAACUAACAAGGAUUCCCUCAGUAAGGGCGACUGAAGCGGGAAUAGCCCAUGCUGCCAAUCGCUUCGGCGAGUUGUGUCAGGCGUGCCUGGCAGACCUCCGGGGAGAAGUCCCUUGGAACAGGGUAUCAGAGAGGGUGACAGUCCCGUCUGUGCCUCGGAGGUUCUGUGUGAAGGCCGUAUUACUAGAGUCGAGUUGCUUGGGAUUGCAGCUCAAAGUUGGUGGUAAAUUCCAUCUAAGGCUAAACACGGGUGGG
This 274-nucleotide ribosomal RNA is filed under the name Vicicitus globosus. Its description in RNAcentral is "partial 28S ribosomal RNA". It matches the Rfam family "Eukaryotic large subunit ribosomal RNA", at positions 43 to 330 of the family's 3401-position model. The record is from RNAcentral. Lineage: Eukaryota; Dictyochophyceae; Dictyochales; Dictyochaceae.